RNAcentral lists this ribosomal RNA (466 nucleotides) under uncultured bacterium. RNAcentral describes it as "partial 16S ribosomal RNA". It matches the Rfam family "Bacterial small subunit ribosomal RNA", at positions 28 to 507 of the family's 1533-position model. The record is from RNAcentral.
GAUGAACGCUGGCGGCGUGCUUAACACAUGCAAGUCGAACGGAAAGACCCAAGCUUUCUUUGGUACUCGAUUGGCGAACGGGUGAGUAACACGUGUGUGAUCUCCCCUUCACUUCGUGAUAAGCCUGGGAAACUCGGGCUAUUACCGCGUAUAACAACAUGUAGGGUGUUGUUCUGGAAAGUUUUUCGGUCUGGGUUGAGCUCGCGGCCUAUCAGCUUGUGGAGGGGCUAAUGGCUUGCCAAAGCGUCUACGUGUACCCGGACUGAGAGAGUGUACGGCCACAUUGGGACUGAGAGAAGGCACAGACUGCUACGGGAGGGAGCAGUGGGGAAGAUUGAACAAGGGGCGCCAGCCGGAUGCAGCGACGCUGCGUGGGGGAUGACGGCCUUAGGGUUGUAAACUACUUUCGCAAGGGACGAAGCGCUAUGUGACGGUACCUGGAGAAGAAGCAACGGCUAACUACGUG